Molecule: ribosomal RNA, 2106 nt
Filed under: Triticum aestivum (bread wheat)
Lineage: Eukaryota; Viridiplantae; Streptophyta; Magnoliopsida; Poales; Poaceae
Description: partial small subunit ribosomal RNA
Source: RNAcentral
AUGCCUCAACCUCUAAUCAUAUUUCACCUGCAGGGCAAUGACAUCCAAAGCCACCAUGUUUCAUCUGUCCACCCAACGCAGCAUACUAUGCUCCAAAUAAACAAAUACUAUAAAAGUAAUCUUCCGAAUGACCUACAGAACACAGUAGGGUUUCAAUCUAAUAAUGAAUUGCUUAUUGCACCUGCACCUGGAGACACCCGGGGCAUCGAUGAGAAGCUCAUCUGGCCAGUAUGCCCUCAGUGUGCAGUUUUCACCGGAAUAGAAUUGCUAGCUACCCUCCGGAAUGAUCAAUCCAGCAGCCUGCUUCCUCCUAUACCUUUGCUCCUCAGGGGAACCAAUCUACAUUCUUGUCGCCGUUGUACACAUCCCACUGUCUUUGCCGAGUGCCUGCAAGCCGAUGCACGCUGCCGCCUCCGGCCAUCUGGUGUCAAAGACCAGCACGAAUAUGGAUAUUGGCUAGCUCGCAUCCCACAUCAAUCUCCAACUCCGAGCACGCCAAGCACAACUGCAGACUGCACUCAAUGUGCCUCCUUCUUCACUGUAGCUUCUGACAUGAAUUGCAUUGAUCGUGCCAUAGAAGUUGAGGGGAUUGAACUCCCUCAUCCUCAACCAAUCUGGAUUGCAUCGUCGGGAGCUGGGCACCUGAGUUUGAGAAAACCUGGUGGACAGAUCUGUGAUGCCAUCACCUUGGCCUUGGCCACCCGCUGCUUCUACUUGUGCAAAGCGAUUUGUGACUUGCCGAGUCCCCAACGGCCAACAGAAUCAUGGAAGCAAUUCUUCAUGUUGGCAAAGCUGAUCUCAGUGGCCUCAGAUUGCAAAGUGGUCAUUGAUGAUAUUGGACAUAGGAGUGCAGCGGUUUAUGGAGCUAUCAUUAGGGAGAUUGUAGAUCGUUCCAAGAAUUUUGUUAAUUGCUUUUUUAGCCAUGAAUUUAGGAGCUCGAAUGUCAAUGCUCACAAUCUAGCGAAGCAUGCUCUCUCACUUGAUGUUGGCCGCCGUGUGUGGUUAGGCAAGCCAGUGUUAGUUUCGGUGUUCAUAGAUUGCAGAGUACAACGAAAGCCGGGGCGCGACAGGAGGUCCGUGGAUGCCGGGGCGGCGGCCCCGGAAUGGUGGCAGCAGCGGAACGACUGUUGCAGUCGCGUGGAGCUCAUUAUGACAGAAGGUGUUGUUGUGGGAUUCGUGCUGUGGAGACUGGCGGCAAGUGGUGGAGGUGCUCUCCAGCGGUCUGGGCGCCCCCGGGUGCUCUAUUUCCGCAUAUCUUGUCUGAGUGAUGAGGAGGUGUGCGUCAGGGGGAAUAACAUUCAACGUUAUCUCGAUGGAGCCCUUCUUAGAAUCAUAACAGGUCGGGAGCUGCAUGUUCGACUACUGGAGCAUGCCGAGCUGCCCGUCUCAUGGAUGCAGGGCCGGCCCUGGGCCAGGGCAGCAGGGGCUACGGCCUGGGGCCCAGCCAAAUUAGGGGCCCCGACCCAGUGCUGCAGUGGAGGCCCAUCUCCAACUGAAGCCCAACUGCCAAGAGGCCUGAAGGCAGGCACGCACGCACAUGGGCACAAGGCCAGCGACUGUCCGUCUCCCCGCACCGAGAUCAGAGAGCGAGAAGCAGCCGCCGCCGGAGCCGGAGCUGGUCCUGCUCGAGACUCGACGCCGAUGGCCGGGUUCGCCUCCUCGCGGCCGGCCUCCCUCGCGCUCUGCGGCUUCCUCAUCUUCCUCAACGUCUUCGCCUUCCUCCUCGCCGUCCGCGCCGAGCAGCGACGCAGCACCGUACGCCCCUCCUCCUCCUCCUCCCCCCUCGGGCACGUGGUGCCGGACGAGUACGACGAGCGCUCCUACUGCCUCUACGACACCGACGCUGUUCCUCCUCAGUCUACACGCCGGUUCGUUUUUCUCGCCUGUUCCUCUCCCGCAGAUCGGCCGAUCAAGCGACUACGAGUCUGCGACAGCGGCUGCCGCUGCCGGCAGAUGCUAGCGCAUAGGGCACCUUCACGAGGAACAACAGGUGACAAAGCUGAACAAGGAUCUUCUCUUUUUGAUAUCUAUGACCCUAGAAACUGGGACACUGUUGACAACAAAUCAAGAUAUAUUCUAAUUGAAAAAGGGCCUACAAGGGAAUAA